AACCGCCGUGUACCGAACGGUACGCACGGUGGUGUGAGAGGACGAAAAUUUCUCAUUAGAGAAAUUUUCUCCUACUCGAU
This 80-nucleotide non-coding RNA is filed under the name Lachnospiraceae bacterium C10. Lineage: Bacteria; Bacillati; Bacillota; Clostridia; Lachnospirales; Lachnospiraceae. The record is from RNAcentral.